CCUCUCAGCUGGAUCUCAGCCUUCGAGAGCCCAAAGCGCCCUCAAAGUGAGUGCUGUAACUCCUUCACACGGUGUGACACCUGGGAAGGCCUGGCCUUUGGUUCUGAAAUAUCUUGAAACCUCCUUCUAGCAUUAUCUCAGAUCUGCUUUUGACCUCGGGGGAUGAAAUUGAAAGAGCUGCAUGUGCAGAGGAUCAUUUCACUGCGAACAAACUGCAGUGCAGCACUAGAUGUCAGUAGUGCUUUGCUACUUUCUGCGUCCAAUCAUACCGGCUUUACUUGCUGCUGGCCUUUGGUGUGUGACGUUCUAUUUGCUUCCCUAACAAAUAUCAGAUAUAUUAACACGAAAACUUAUCAAACCAAACCUUCUUUAAUGAAGAGCACAACGAAGCACUGUUGGCUGCAGGUGAUGGCUUGAAGUGGUGAUUGAGCACCUGGUGAAGGGGUGAGGCUGGCCCAGGCAGAUUGCUUGCACCUGUGCUCCCCUGGAGACCAGGCUCUAUGAUUCCAUAUUCUAUUCUAUGACUCACAGUAGGGCCCCUACCCAGGGCUCAUAUGAGGGUCAGCUGCUGUAGAGAAAGCAUCUCUUGGGCUGUUUGCUGAGGAUUGCAGUGUGGCUGGAGAGCCCAGUCAGCAGUUGGGUACUGACUUGAUACAAUCUACUCACCACUGGAAGGCAUCUCUUUAACUGGAGAAAGCAGUAUAUGAAAAUGGUGAAAUGGAGCUAUGUGGAGUGAUCUGGAAGGAGCUGUGUUCUCUGCUGGUAGGGUGAUGAGGAGAGAGCAAGUCUCUUAUCUGGCAAGGACAUUUGUACUUGUAGUGCCAGUAUUGUCACAAGGCUGUGCACAUGCCUGGUUUUUUUUACAUGGUGGUUGUGUCCCGCCUUGUGUCCAUGGCUUGUCAUCCAGGGCAGAAAGGAUGGCUUUAAAGGGUGUGCCAGAGGUUCCAGAGAUAAGCACAGUGGUGGAAGUUCAGCCAAUUUUUGCAUGCAACAAGCCUGAUAAGGAAACAAGAGGCAGACACCAGAGAAUUGCUUCAUUAACUACAUUUUCCAUCCUGCUGGCUCCUGUGCACUAGAGAAGUCAAGUGAAAUAAGCAGAUAUAAAUACAAAAUAAUACAAAAGCAAAUGGGAGUUGAAGCUGUAUUAAAUAUGGGAUAAGUGAAAGGCCGGUUUAGAUAUAUUUCUUGUCACUGCUUUUAAAAAGAAGCUUCCAAGCAGACUGAUAGCUCUAGGGGUCGGAAGGUGCUCGGGAAGCAUUUCACCUCUAAGAGCAGGUCUGC
Coturnix japonica (Japanese quail) is the source of this 1281-nucleotide non-coding RNA. NCBI's taxonomy places the organism in Eukaryota, Metazoa, Chordata, Aves, Galliformes, Phasianidae. The record is from RefSeq and is a predicted model, not a curated record.